GACAGAGGGGGCAAGCGUUGUUCGGAAUUACUGGGCGUAAAGGGCUCGUAGGCGGCCAACUAAGUCAGACGUGAAAUCCCUCGGCUUAACCGGGGAACUGCGUCUGAUACUGGAUGGCUCGAGUUUGGGAGAGGGAUGCGGAAUUCCAGGUGUAGCGGUGAAAUGCGUAGAUAUCGGGAAGAACACCCGUGGCGAAGGCGGUUCUCUGGGACGGUACUGACGCUGAGACGCGAAAGCGUGGGGAGCGAACAGG
This 253-nucleotide ribosomal RNA is filed under the name uncultured bacterium. Its description in RNAcentral is "partial 16S ribosomal RNA". It matches the Rfam family "Bacterial small subunit ribosomal RNA", at positions 524 to 776 of the family's 1533-position model. The record is from RNAcentral.